AUCGAUGAAGAACGCAGUGAAAUGUGAUAAGUAAUGUGAAUUGCAGAAUCUCGUGAAUCAUCGAAUCUUUGAACGCACAUUGCGCCCAAUGGUAUUCCAUUGGGCAUACCUGUUUGAGUAUCAGAAUCCUUUCAAUUAUCAAACUUUUACAUAUAGAGAUAUAUGUAAAGAUGUUUGGAAUACAAUUGAGAAAAGUAGUAUUCCUUAUGGUAUUGCUUUCUUAAAAACUAGAAAUACUAUGUUUUGAUUUUUCUUCAGCUCAUUUUGUAUAUCAUUUAACAAAUGAGUACGAGUAAAAAUAUACAAUACUUUGGAUGACCUCAAAUCAGGUAGGGAUACCCGCUGAACUUAAGCAUAUCAAUAAGCGGAGGAAAAGAAACCAACAGGGAUUGCCUUAGUAACGGCGAGUGAAGCGGCAAAAGCUCAGAUUUGAAAUCUGGUGUCAAAUUGAUACCCGAGUUGUAAUCUGUAGAGGAGUUUUUCGGAGUAUGGCUUUGGUUAAAGUUCCUUGGAAAAGGGCAUCAUAGAGGGUGAGAAUCCUGUUUAUGACCUGUGUCUGUCUCCAUUAUGAAUCUCCUUCAAUGAGUCGAGUUGUUUGGGAAUGCAGCUCUAAAUGGGUGGUAAAUUCCAUCUAAAGCUAAAUAUUGGCAAGAGACCGAUAGCGCACAAGUAGAGUGAUCGAAAGAUGAAAAGAACUCUGAACAGAGAGUUAAAGAGUACGUGAAAUUGUUGAAAGGGAAGCACUUGUGACCAGACAAAUUUACAGUUAAUCAGCCAUCAAUCUUUGGUGGUGCACUUAAUUGUAGGUGGGUCAGCAUCAGUUAUAGUAGUGGAACAAAGAUCAAAGGAAUGUAGCUCCUCUUUGAGGAGUGUUAUAGCCUUUGGUUCAAUACCGCUGGCCAUGACUGAGGAUAGCACUUCCAGUAAGGAUGCUGACAUAAUGGUCAUAAGUGACCCGUCUUGAAACACGG
RNAcentral lists this ribosomal RNA (971 nucleotides) under uncultured Ascomycota. Its description in RNAcentral is "eukaryotic LSU rRNA". The stretch from base 316 to 971 matches the Rfam family "Eukaryotic large subunit ribosomal RNA", at positions 1 to 664 of the family's 3401-position model. Lineage: Eukaryota; Fungi; Ascomycota. The record is from RNAcentral.